UACAGAGGUCUCAAGCGUUGUUCGGAUUCAUUGGGCGUACAGGGUGCGUAGGUGGCGCGCUAAGUCGGGUGUGAAAUUUCGGAGCUUAACUCCGAAACUGCAUUCGAUACUGGCGUGCUUGAGGACUGGAGAGGAGACUGGAAUUCAUGGUGUAGCAGUGAAAUGCGUAGAGAUCAUGAGGAAGACCAGUGGCGAAGGCGGGUCUCUGGAUCGGUACUGACGCUGAGGUGCGAAAGCGUGGGGAGCAAACAGG
RNAcentral lists this ribosomal RNA (253 nucleotides) under uncultured bacterium. RNAcentral describes it as "partial 16S ribosomal RNA". It matches the Rfam family "Bacterial small subunit ribosomal RNA", at positions 524 to 776 of the family's 1533-position model. The record is from RNAcentral.